UUUCCGUAGGUGAACCUGCGGAAGGAUCAUUAUUGUCUAACCGAGGUGCGAGGGCUGUCGCUGACCCUAAAGGUCGUGCACGCCCGAGUGCCCUCACACACAUCCAUCACACCCCUAUGUGCACCACCGCGUGGGUCCCCCUUUGGCUUGUUCGGAGGGGUGCUUACGUUUUCACACAAACUUUGUAUGCAGUGUAGAAUGUAUUUUUUGUUUUGCGAUCACGCAAUCAAUACAACUUUCAACAACGGAUCUCUUGGCUCUC
RNAcentral lists this unclassified non-coding RNA (262 nucleotides) under plant metagenome. RNAcentral describes it as "partial contains small subunit ribosomal RNA, internal transcribed spacer 1, and 5.8S ribosomal RNA". The record is from RNAcentral.